This 403-nucleotide unclassified non-coding RNA is filed under the name soil metagenome. RNAcentral describes it as "partial contains 5.8S ribosomal RNA, internal transcribed spacer 2, and large subunit ribosomal RNA". The stretch from base 1 to 122 matches the Rfam family "5.8S ribosomal RNA", at positions 35 to 154 of the family's 154-position model. The record is from RNAcentral.
GAUGAAGAACGUAGCAAAAUGCGAUACUUGGUGUGAAUUGCAGAAUCCCGUGAACCAUCGAGUUUUUGAACGCAAGUUGCGCCCGAAGCCUUUUGGCCGAGGGCACGUCUGCCUGGGCGUCACGCAUCGCGUCGCCCCCCACAAUUCUCCGUAAAGGGAACAUGUGUUUUGGGGGCGGAUAUUGGUCUCCCGUGCUCAUGGCGUGGUUGGCCGAAAUAGGAGUCCUUUCGAUGGACGCACGAACUAGUGGUGGUCGUAAAAACCCUCGUCUUUUGUUUCGUGCUGUUGCUCGCAAGGUAAACUCUUUAAAAACCCCAAUGUGUCGUCUCUUGACGACGCUUCGACCGCGACCCCAGGUCAGGCGGGACUACCCGCUGAGUUUAAGCAUAUCAUAAGCGGAGGA